GCCACUUGGUCGCAAACACUGGCCAAAAUUGGCGUUCAAAUUAGUUUUUUGCAUUUUUCACACACAAACAAAUAUUAGUGUUAAUAUUUGUUUGUGUGUGAAAAAUGAAAAAAACUAAUUUGAACGCCAAUUUUGGCCAGUGCUUGUGACUAAGUGGU
Non-coding RNA from Pelobates cultripes (western spadefoot toad), 158 nucleotides. The record is from the annotation of a GenBank genome assembly. NCBI's taxonomy places the organism in Eukaryota, Metazoa, Chordata, Amphibia, Anura, Pelobatidae.